Molecule: small RNA, 41 nt
Filed under: Arabidopsis thaliana (thale cress)
Lineage: Eukaryota; Viridiplantae; Streptophyta; Magnoliopsida; Brassicales; Brassicaceae
Description: ATSL072310
Source: RNAcentral
UUUUCUCAAUACAAUUGAUUUUUUUUUUCUUCUUCUUCUCU